Molecule: ribosomal RNA, 254 nt
Filed under: uncultured bacterium
Lineage: Bacteria
Description: partial 16S ribosomal RNA
Rfam family: Bacterial small subunit ribosomal RNA
Source: RNAcentral
UACGUAGGGGGCGAGCGUUGUCCGGAUUUAUUGGGCGUAAAGAGCUCGUAGGCGGUUUGGUAAGUUGGAUGUGAAAUCUCCAGGCUCAACUUGGAGGGGUCAUUCGAUACUGCCAUGACUAGAGUUCGGUAGGGGAGUGUGGAAUUCCUGGUGGAGCGGUGAAAUGCGCAGAUAUCUGGAGGAACACCGGUGGCGAAGGCGGCACCCUGGACCAACACUGACGCUGAUGAGCGAAAGCCAGGGGAGCAAACGGG